CACCGCGGUUAUACGAAAGGCUCAAGUUGCUAAGCCUCGGCGUAAAGUGUGGUUAAGGAAAUUUUUAACUAAAGUCGAAUGCCUGUAAAAGCAGUGACACGCUAACUAAGGUAAGAAGCCCCCCACGAAAGUAACUUUAUUAAACCCUGAACCCACGUAAGCUAUGACUA
This 170-nucleotide ribosomal RNA is filed under the name Pampus argenteus (silver pomfret). Its description in RNAcentral is "partial 12S rRNA". The record is from RNAcentral. RNAcentral also lists the same sequence under 1 other name. Lineage: Eukaryota; Metazoa; Chordata; Actinopteri; Scombriformes; Stromateidae.